Molecule: small nuclear RNA, 270 nt
Filed under: Nestor notabilis (Kea)
Lineage: Eukaryota; Metazoa; Chordata; Aves; Psittaciformes; Psittacidae
Description: 7SK RNA
Rfam family: 7SK RNA
About the family: 7SK was discovered as an abundant small nuclear RNA in the mid-70s but a possible function has only recently been suggested. Two independent studies have found that 7SK RNA binds the CDK9/cyclin T complex (known as elongation factor P-TEFb). P-TEFb activates transcription by phosphorylating the C-terminal domain of RNA polymerase II.
Source: Rfam by way of RNAcentral
ACAUGUGAGGACAAUAUGGCUGUGACACCUGUCACCCUAUUGAUCACUAGGGUUUAUUCAGUUGAUCAACUGGCUGGCUAGGUACAUGUCCCCUUCCUCCCUCACUGCUCCACAUGCAUCCCUCCCAAAGCUCCACUCUCAGUCAAAGAGGACAAACUUCCCCGAUACACGCAGUACCUUUCAUCGGUCACGGUCAUACAGUAGCUGUGCUCCCCUACUAGAACCUCCAAACAAGUAACUCCAGCAGCUCCUCAAGGACUUCCCCUUGGG